CUUGAACAGAAGAAUUAUUAAGUACAGUAUGGAAUGGUUGCAAGAAACCCAUGAAGUUUUAAUGGUUGGCAGUCAAAUAAUUACUCAAACUAGUGUUCCACAAUGAAGUACAUAUAUUGGAACAUUAGAGGCAUUGGGAAUCUUGACACCCAAGUGCAUCUGUUUCAACUGGUUAAGUCUCAUAAACCAUAAUUUCUUUUUCUGGCUGAACCUAUUGUUGCUUACAAUCAGAUACCUGCCUGGUAUUGGCAUAGGCUCCAUCUUCAAAACUCAGUGGUUAAUGACAACAACAAAAUUUGGUGUUUGUGGAGCAAUCAAAUUAAUACCAACAUUCUUUUCAAUAGUGCACAAUGCAUUGCUCUAUCUUACAUUUCAAAUGGGUCUAUUAUAUACACAGCUGCUAUAUAUGCCUCCACCAAAUACACUACUAGAAGACAGCUAUGGAUGGAUUUGUGAAACACCCCUACUAGACAUUACCUAGGAUAUCUAGCAUGUGUGUUAAACUUGGCAUUGGAUACAUUAAAAUUUCAAUAAUAAAAAUUUCCUCUUAAUGAAAUAUGGAAAUGCUCGACUUAUACGUCUGAAAUAAUACCACUGACGUGAACUUCCUAUGAUCCGACAACUUCUGCCUCUUCACCACAACCCAUUCUGUCAUCUAGCAACCUGAAUAUCUGAAAUAAAUAAAAGGGAUUGGGGUGAGACAGGAUGUCUCAGUGAGUUCCACCUAUCCUAGGUUGUAGGCAAUUGCAGGGAACCUAAGAUCGCCAUCUAUUCUAAACUUAACCCAUUUCGGGUUUAUACAGUCUUUAUCACACAUAACUGAGCGAUCAGGGAUAACUAGGAUCACUACCUUAUACUAUAAUGAUUCUAUCAUAAUGUCAUAUUCUUAUUUUUACACAUAAUCAUAAUCAUAAUCAUAACUCUUACUUAAAGUUCAUGUCAUUAAUUUUUUAUUUUUAUUUUUUUUUAUACAUUUCAAUGUGUGCAUAUAUACCACAUUAAUUACUAUGAGCCGUACCUCAUAUGCUACAUUAUCUCUUCGUUGUAACAAACGGAAUUUUCACAUUUAUUACUAUGAGCCGUAUCUCAUAGGCUACAUUAUCUCUUCGUUGUAGCAAACGAAGUUUUUCUCGAUUUGUUACUAUAAGUCGUACCUCAUAGGCUACAUUAUCUCUUCGUUGUAGCAAACGGAGUUUUCACAUUAAUUACUAUGAGCCGUAACUCAUAGGCUACAUUAUCUCUUCGUUGUAGCAAACGAAGUUUUUCUCGAUUUGUUACUAUGAGCCGUACCUCAUAGGUUACAUUAUCUCUUCGUUGUAGCAAACGGAGUUUUCACAUUAAUUACUAUGAGCCGUACCUCAUAGGCUACAUUAUCUCUUGGUUGUAGCAAACAGAAUUUUUGAAUUUGUUACUAUGAGCCGUACCUCAUAGGCUACAUUAUCUCUUCGUUGUAGCAAACGAAAUUUUCACAUUUAUUACUAUGAGCCGUACCUCAUAGGCUACAUUAUCUCUUCGUUGUAGCAAACGGAGUUUUUCUCGAUUUGUUACUAUGAGCCGUACCUCAUAAGCUACAUUAUCUCUUCGUUGUAGCGAACGGAGUUUUCACAUUAAUUACUAUGAGCCGUACCUCAGGCUACAUUAUCUCUUCGUUGUAGCAAACGGAAUUUUUGCAUUUGUUACUAUGAGCCGUACCUCAUAGGCUACAUUAUCUCUUCGUUGUAGCAAACGGAUAUUUUCGCAAUUUUAUUGUUAUUUUUUUUUCUUUCUUUCUACGAGCAUGUUACUCGUUUCAAUUUUUCUUUCAAAUAAUUUCUAUAAGUAUAUACAUCAAUUGUCUUGCUUAGCAUUUUAUUGUUAGAACCAAUUCAUAUGACUUCGCAUAACAUUGAUAUCAUACAAGAUUUCAUUCACAUUAUCAUGACUUUGCAUAACCAUUAAAAUCUCGUUUGUUUACAUACUCAAAUGUACUUGACAGCGUGAGGCUUAUUUUCAGUCUUGUCAUAGUGGCAAUUACACUUACGAUCUCCUAUGAGAUAGCUUCAACUCCAAAAAUUCAUUAUUUUGGUUUUCAGGACACUUGCAUAAGAAAAAUCAUCGGACGAAAAUGUUUAACUCCUUAAUACUUUACUUCGUUCUUAACUCAUUAGCACUAGCGACAUCCUUUCCUAUAACAGAACCUUAAAAAUGAUUUUCAAAUUCAAAAAUCUUGAUUAAUCAUUAACACAUCAACUUAUUAUAUUCAUGCGGUAACACAUUCUGUUGAAAGAAUUUGACAUUACUCGUCCAUUAAUUCACUGAACUCCGAUAACUUAUUAUUAAAUCUUUAUUUUCCGUUUCAACCGAAAAUUACAUCUUGUCUCAUGCCAUUACCGGGAUCUCUUUCCACCUACUGCUAAACUUGUAUUUCUUAGUUCAGAAGACAACUUAAUAACUUGUGAUAGAUACGGGGUCUAAUUUAGUUUUCUCGUGUACAACUCCCGUUAUCUUAACUUCUCUAUAAUUAUUGUCAAUAAAAAUACAUCUGAAUCUUACUUGACCCAUAAAAGAUCCUUGCACUACUCUUUAUUCAUCCUUCUUGACUCUUACGCCGCAUAGCACCUUCACUUCGUGAUUCAUAAAUCUGGCACUUAAGAUUCGGGGAAUGUGGCUAAUCUGACAUAGUUUAUCUAGUUUGCGUUGUCCACUCCGUAAAGGGGUUAUUUUCGUCUGUUCUAAAAUAAUUUACUUAAUUUUCCAAUUAAUUCACUUAACAACUCAGACAUUAAAAUCUUGAGUGUUUCUUACAUCUUCUACUUCUCCUGAGCACUUAUAAAUUCUGUUAACCGUCUAAUAAUUCCCUCACGUCAAGUUCCUCUCCUGAUCCCGCAUCCUUAUUUACGCCUUCAGAAAUAUUUCUUUUCUUUAUACCUAGCUUAUGCUUCUUAUACUACUGCUCUUGUUAAGGUUAUAAUCAUCCCUUAAUCGUCCUGAAUAUCUUACUUCUCUUGUAUCCACAUAUGAAGUGUUGUUCAAUGACAUUAAAGUAAUCCGUCUUACCCACAACAUUUCCCUUAUAUACUCGAAGAAUCUUAAGCUUCGCAGUUACCAGCCACAAUUGGAGUCAAAUACUUCCUUAACAAGAUUCAUCACAAAACAUAACACCAUGAUGUUUCUUCUUCGGACGCUUCAUUCCUCCUAGGCCCUAUUCAGCUCUCAGACACUUGUUCUAACUAUCAUAUACUAGUCUGAGUUGAUCAGGCUCAGCUAGACAUGACAUUUAGAAUAAAUAUCCGGAACUCAAUGGUCCCACUGCAUUUUAUUGAAUUCUAAUGACCCAGGCACGAUCUGAAUCGACCUGCUCUGAUACCAAAUUGAAACACCCCUACUAGACAUUACCUAGGAUAUCUAGCAUGUGUGUUAAACUUGGCAUUGGAUACAUUAAAAUUUCAAUAAUAAAAAUUUCCUCUUAAUGAAAUAUGGAAAUGCUCGUCUUAUACCUCUGAAAUAAUACCAUUGACGUGAACUUCCUAUGAUCCGACAACUUCUGCCUCUUCACCACGAACCAUUCUGUCAUCUAGCAACCUGAAUAUCUGAAAUAAAUAAAAGGGAUUGGGGUGAGACAGGAUGUCUCAGUGAGUUGCACCUAUCCUAGGUUGUAGGCAAUCGCAGGGAACCUAGGAUCGCCAUCUGUUCUAAACUUAACCCAUUUCGGGUUUAUACAGUCUUUAUCACACAUAACUGAGCGAUCGGGGAUAACUAGGAUCACUACCUAAUACUAUAAUGAUUCUAUCAUAAUGUCAUAUUCUUAUUUUUACACAUAAUCAUAAUCAUAAUCAUAACUCUUACUUAAAGUUCAUGUCAUUAUUUUUUUUUUUUUUUUUAUACAUUUCAAUGUGUGCAUAUAUACCACAUUAAUUACUAUGAGCCGUACCUCAUAUGCUACAU
This 3924-nucleotide long non-coding RNA is filed under the name Medicago truncatula (barrel medic). Its description in RNAcentral is "lncRNA gene2806". Lineage: Eukaryota; Viridiplantae; Streptophyta; Magnoliopsida; Fabales; Fabaceae. The record is from RNAcentral.